This 2112-nucleotide long non-coding RNA is filed under the name Homo sapiens (human). RNAcentral's name for it is "HSALNT0042374". Lineage: Eukaryota; Metazoa; Chordata; Mammalia; Primates; Hominidae. The record is from RNAcentral.
UCCAAAUGGGGAAGAGAAAGAAAGUAGAUUUAAGCACACUCUAAUAGGAGAAAAUUUGGAAUCAUCUCUCAUAUGUCCUUCUUUUUCAUCCCCUGCAUAUGACUUGAGUGCAUGCCUAUUGGGAAGAGGAAAAGAAAAAGAAAAAUGAAGACAAUGAAGAACAAAACAAAUAGAUUUAACAGAGAUGGAAGACGAUAGUGUGUCAUAAACUGAGAAAUUUAACUUUUUCCUUUACAUCUGAGGUUAUAAAAGAGAAAGAAAAUGGAAGAGGAAAAAAAAAGGUAGAAGUUAUAGAAGAAGAAGAGAGGCAGGAGCAAAUAUGUUAAUCCUGUGCUGCGUAAAUUGUUAAGGAUAUCAUUUUAGGUAAAUGUUUAACUCAAAGCAAAAGUGAAGUCAACUUUCUCAGAACAUCCACUGACACCAGUGUGUUCAGGGGAUGGGAAUGGUAAGAGUUUCCCUUGUGCUUUCAGCAAACAUGCUGCUCGUUCUCAUUCAUCACAGGCUCCCUAUGCACAUCCUGGCAAUGAAAGUCUCUGAUUUUAUUAAUUCAGAAUUGUUUUUCUGAUAAAAGUAUUUGUGUCAUGACAUGCCCAUAUGACUUUGAAUACAUUUGAUGAACUAUUAGAAUCUUAAAAGAGUACUUUGGGUAUAUUGAGUGUGAUUAGAAAAAGUGCUACUGAUUGCCCUACAGCUAAACUCUUUAUUAAUUUGUACCAUGCAAUUUCUCGUUUGAAAUUCAUAGGCAUUUAGAAAAUUAAUUCUUCACAGAGAGAGAAUAAUUCAGGUGGUGAACUCAGUAGAAGAAAGGCCUUUUGGGUAUUUACUUUGGACACAUUAUCCCCAGCAGACCUGAGUGAAGAGCACUCUGAACAAUUUGCUGCAAGAAUUCUUUCAGCAAUUCAAGUUCAGACAUUGGCCUUCAUAAGCUUAUGGUGAAUGAAUAAUUCUUGCAUUUACAUAGGUCUUUGCAUUUCAGAGUCCUAAAGUACUUUGCAUCGUACACCUGAUUUAAGUGGGCAGAAGAAUGAAAUCUCAGAGGCUAGGGGCAAAGCAACCUUGAUCUAUUAAUGACAAAGACAGAAAAAAAAAAAAAAGAAAGAAAGAAAGAAGAAGAGAAAAAAAACCCACCAGUUCUUCCUCAGUGGUAGAAAUCAGUGUUGACAGGAUAAUCUUUCACAGAGAAGCCCACUGUGAUAUCACAAGCAUAAGAUUAUAGGCAAAUUUUCUGCCAGCCAGUUAUGUGAAAACUUCAAACUGAAUUCUGUUCUUGGUGAUUUCAACUCAGUUCUCACAGGGGUAUUGUGGCAGAAAUAUCAAAGUGCAAAAUUGACUUUGGAGCAUAAGGAUAUGAAAUAAGAUCUGGUUUCCAUAGAAAAGGCAGUGGAAUGAUUAAACUCAUAUGCAAUAACUAUUUAAUGGUUCCAUGUUUUUUCACAUAACUCAAAGUAACAAAAAUAAAUUCACAGGGCAUCACAAAAUCAGUGUAUAUCCAGCUGAAACCAUAGUUCGAAGAUACUAAUCUCUAAGAUUUUUUCAAAGCGAGUAAGAACAGACAUACCUUGGAACUCAGUCUUGGCCAGUAGAGUAUAAUGUGGCUUUAUACUGUAUGUAUUUAUAUGUAUAGCUACACACUUAUACUUUUAGAAUACAACACAAUAACACUAAUGCACAGACUUCAUACACACACACACAUAGACGCACACCAUGGGCAGCUUCCUGUGAAAUAAAAGCAUAAAUUUGGUGACACUUGAAUUAAACACACUUGUGUCUUUAUUUUUGCAAAAAAUCAAUAUUCAGUUGACUAGAGAACAUUAACAGUAUCUGUCAGGUAAAAUAUUUUAAGUUUUGUUUAUUAUAUUACCAUUGUUCAUGCUGACCAAAAUUCUUAGAAAAGUUAGUGGAUGAUACCUUAAAACAUUCUUUUCAAGUCUGUGGUUUCUCCUUUCUCUGUAAACAUGUUUUAAUAUUGAGACUAAGCCAGUCAUGGAGAGACUGAUUUUUUAAGUUGAUGAUUACAUUGUUCAUGACACUAUUGGCAAAUCAAAACUCUCUCCUGAGCCAAGGAAAGGGACAAAGUGUAUCUGUUUGCUUUUUGUUGGUGAUGUAUUAAGA